This 1536-nucleotide ribosomal RNA is filed under the name Enterobacter asburiae. RNAcentral describes it as "bacterial SSU rRNA". It matches the Rfam family "Bacterial small subunit ribosomal RNA". Lineage: Bacteria; Pseudomonadati; Pseudomonadota; Gammaproteobacteria; Enterobacterales; Enterobacteriaceae. The record is from RNAcentral.
UUGAAGAGUUUGAUCAUGGCUCAGAUUGAACGCUGGCGGCAGGCCUAACACAUGCAAGUCGAGCGGUAGCACAGAGAGCUUGCUCUCGGGUGACGAGCGGCGGACGGGUGAGUAAUGUCUGGGAAACUGCCUGAUGGAGGGGGAUAACUACUGGAAACGGUAGCUAAUACCGCAUAAUGUCGCAAGACCAAAGAGGGGGACCUUCGGGCCUCUUGCCAUCAGAUGUGCCCAGAUGGGAUUAGCUAGUAGGUGGGGUAACGGCUCACCUAGGCGACGAUCCCUAGCUGGUCUGAGAGGAUGACCAGCCACACUGGAACUGAGACACGGUCCAGACUCCUACGGGAGGCAGCAGUGGGGAAUAUUGCACAAUGGGCGCAAGCCUGAUGCAGCCAUGCCGCGUGUAUGAAGAAGGCCUUCGGGUUGUAAAGUACUUUCAGCGGGGAGGAAGGCGAUAAGGUUAAUAACCUUGUCGAUUGACGUUACCCGCAGAAGAAGCACCGGCUAACUCCGUGCCAGCAGCCGCGGUAAUACGGAGGGUGCAAGCGUUAAUCGGAAUUACUGGGCGUAAAGCGCACGCAGGCGGUCUGUCAAGUCGGAUGUGAAAUCCCCGGGCUCAACCUGGGAACUGCAUUCGAAACUGGCAGGCUAGAGUCUUGUAGAGGGGGGUAGAAUUCCAGGUGUAGCGGUGAAAUGCGUAGAGAUCUGGAGGAAUACCGGUGGCGAAGGCGGCCCCCUGGACAAAGACUGACGCUCAGGUGCGAAAGCGUGGGGAGCAAACAGGAUUAGAUACCCUGGUAGUCCACGCCGUAAACGAUGUCGACUUGGAGGUUGUGCCCUUGAGGCGUGGCUUCCGGAGCUAACGCGUUAAGUCGACCGCCUGGGGAGUACGGCCGCAAGGUUAAAACUCAAAUGAAUUGACGGGGGCCCGCACAAGCGGUGGAGCAUGUGGUUUAAUUCGAUGCAACGCGAAGAACCUUACCUACUCUUGACAUCCAGAGAACUUUCCAGAGAUGGAUUGGUGCCUUCGGGAACUCUGAGACAGGUGCUGCAUGGCUGUCGUCAGCUCGUGUUGUGAAAUGUUGGGUUAAGUCCCGCAACGAGCGCAACCCUUAUCCUUUGUUGCCAGCGGUUAGGCCGGGAACUCAAAGGAGACUGCCAGUGAUAAACUGGAGGAAGGUGGGGAUGACGUCAAGUCAUCAUGGCCCUUACGAGUAGGGCUACACACGUGCUACAAUGGCGCAUACAAAGAGAAGCGACCUCGCGAGAGCAAGCGGACCUCAUAAAGUGCGUCGUAGUCCGGAUUGAAGUCUGCAACUCGACUCCAUGAAGUCGGAAUCGCUAGUAAUCGUAGAUCAGAAUGCUACGGUGAAUACGUUCCCGGGCCUUGUACACACCGCCCGUCACACCAUGGGAGUGGGUUGCAAAAGAAGUAGGUAGCUUAACCUUCGGGAGGGCGCUUACCACUUUGUGAUUCAUGACUGGGGUGAAGUCGUAACAAGGUAACCGUAGGGGAACCUGCGGUUGGAUCACCUCCUU